Acinonyx jubatus (cheetah) is the source of this 2080-nucleotide long non-coding RNA. RefSeq lists it as uncharacterized. The transcript is spliced from 2 exons. The record is from RefSeq and is a predicted model, not a curated record. Lineage: Eukaryota; Metazoa; Chordata; Mammalia; Carnivora; Felidae.
CAUUUUUAAAAUUUACUUAUUGUGAGGGAGAGAAAGAGAGAGAGACAGUGAGCACAAGCAGGGGAGGGGAGGAGAGUGAGGGGCUUGAACUCAUAAACAGAUCAAAACCAAGAGUCAGACACUUAACUGACUGAGCCACCCAGGCACCCCAACACUUUGUUUUAAUAACAAAAUGAUACUACAGAUUUGGAAGAUUAGAGGAAAGACAGAAAACCUCCCCUCUCCUAAACUCCCCAUUCCCCUUCUCUUGCUGUAUUUUUCUCCUCAGUGAUUCUCACCUUCUAACAUACUAUAUAUUUUACUUUAUUUAUUAUGUUUUACCAUCUGACUGUCCUCACUAGAAUGUCAGCUUCAUGAGGACAUAUUUCUGUUUGACUUAUCCAUGCGGCUGGCACAUAGUAGGUACUCAUUAACUAUUUGUUCAGUAGUGAUGCUGACAGGAAAAGAAACAGAGAUGUUGGGGGGAAAAAGCCGGCAUGGGUAGGAGGAGAAGGUAGGAUUGGUCUAGAACAUUUGCUCUCAGGAGCUGAGGGGUGCGAGGCACCUGGGCAACUGAGGAUUAGAGGGAUAGGAGAAACCCAGGAACAUAGGGUUUGUAAACCACGGGAGCGAAAAGUGUCAAGGAGAAGGCCAUCAAAUGUUCCUUAAGGAGCAACGGCUUGAAAGAGAGCUCAGAGGAGGCUUGUGAGAAGAGACCAGCUGACUUGAUGAUGACAGAUCACUGGCGUCCUCUCUGCAAGGAGUUGUAGUUGAGAGCACAGGCAGAGACCAGACUUGUGUUGUUGGACGCUAUGGCCACACGUGAUGGCUGAGCACUUGAAACGAGGCGAGUCAAGUCGAGCUGUGCUCCAAGUGCAAGAAACCACACUGAACUAUGAAGAUUUAGAAAAGUUAGCAGGGAAAGAAAGAAUGCAGUAUGACUUACUAAUAAUUUUUAUCUUGAUCACAUGUUGAAAUGGCCUUUUCAUUUCAAAUAUAUUAGGUGAGGCUAGGGUGUAUUAGGUCAAAUAAGAUAUGUCAUUAAAAGGAGUUUCUGGGGUAUGUGGGUGGCUCAGCCGGUUGAGCAUCCGACUUUGGCUCAGGUCGUGAUCUCGCGUUUGUGGGUUUGAGCCCCACGUUGGGCUCUGUGUCAGCUCAGAGCUGGAGCCUGCUUUGGAUUCUGUGUCUCCCUCUCUCUGCCCCUCCCCUGUUUGCUCUCUCUCUCAAAAAUAAAUAAACAUUAAAAAAAAUUUUAAGAGAAAGAGUUUCAACUAUUUUUUUAAACAUUUUUUUAGUAUGAUUACUAGAUACUUUUCAACUACACAUGUGGUUCACAUUAUAUUUCUAUUGGAUAUUGUCAGGCUAGUCUGCCUAGGGUUAAAAUUCAGCAGCAUGUAUAAACUUAUCUGUCCUCCCUCCCUUCCCUCCUUCCUUCCUCCCUCCCUCCCUUCCUUCCUUUUCUUUCUCCCUCUCUCUCUCCCUCCCUCUCUCCCUCUCUCCCUCCAUCCCUCCUUCCCAUCCUCUCUCUCUCUUUCUCUUCCUCCCUUUAAAAAUGCUUUUUAGCAGCUACAUCAUUUUCUGAUGGACGCUUGAGUGGUUGAUCUUCCAUUCUCAGUAAAAAUAGAUGCCUUUUGUAAUAUCAAAUCAUCAAAUUGCUUUAGCGUUAAGUUGCCUAGAGCCAUAUUAAAGUCAGUGAUACGUAGUACAUUAGCUGUGCUGAGCUCUUAGCUUCCCUGAGAGAAAAAGAAAUGACAUAAAUGAGGUUUCUUCUACACUAAGCAGCAAUAAAUGAAAGCCUUUGAAGCAACCACCUACAUGGAGUCCUGGAAUUGUAAUUACCCAACCUCCAAUUUGGCAAGUAGAGAUUUUCUUACAAUAUAACCAACCCCCAAAUAAUGGUCCCUCCUGGUGGGAGGUAGAGAGACUGUGUGUCGCAUGGGUCCAAGACAAAGAUGUUACUGAUUUGGACACUCACACAGCUGCGUAAGAAGAAAAUUCCCAGUGUUCAUCUUGGCUGAGGUCUUGGUUCAUCUUGGAUGCUGUGAGGUCAGCCUUUCGGUUUUAUGUACCUGCUUGUCGUGCGAUGAGUGUGCUUACUUCU